Molecule: ribosomal RNA, 628 nt
Filed under: uncultured Gammaproteobacteria bacterium
Lineage: Bacteria; Pseudomonadati; Pseudomonadota; Gammaproteobacteria
Description: bacterial SSU rRNA
Rfam family: Bacterial small subunit ribosomal RNA
Source: RNAcentral
AGAGUUUGAUCCUGGCUCAGAUGAACGCUGGCGGUAGGCCUAACACAUGCAAGUCGAACGGUAACGGACCGCUGGGAUUCCUUCGGGAUGACCUUGGUGCCGACGAGUGGCGGACGGGUGAGUAACACGUAGGAAUCUGCCCAACAGUGGCGGACAACCCGGAGAAAUCCGGGCUAAUACCGCAUACGCCCUACGGGGGAAAGCAGGGGAUCUUCGGACCUUGCGCUGUUGGAGGAGCCUGCGUCGGAUUAGCUUGUUGGUGAGGUAAAGGCUCACCAAGGCGACGAUCCGUAGCUGGUCUGAGAGGAUGAUCAGCCACACUGGGACUGAGACACGGCCCAGACUCCUACGGGAGGCAGCAGUGGGGAAUAUUGCACAAUGGGCGAAAGCCUGAUGCAGCCAUACCGCGUGUGUGAAGAAGGCCCUCGGGUUGUAAAGCACUUUCGUCAGGGAAGAAAGGUGCGGGGUUAAUAUCCCCGUACUGUGACGGUACCUGAAUAAGAAGCACCGGCUAACUCCGUGCCAGCAGCCGCGGUAAUACGGGAGGGUGCGAGCGUUAAUCGGAAUUACUGGGCGUAAAGCGCGCGUAGGCGGUCUGGUCAGUCAGAUGUGAAAGCCCCGGGCUCAA